GAUGAAGAACGUAGCGAAAUGCGAUACGUAAUGUGAAUUGCAGAAUUCAGUGGAUCAUCGAGUCUUUGAACGCACAUUGCGCCCCCUGGUAUUCCGGGGGGCAUGCCUGUCCGAGCGUCAUUGCUGCCCUCAAGCACGGCUUGUGUGUUGGGCCUCCGUCCUCCUCCCGGGGGACGGGCCCGAAAGGCAGCGGCGGCACCGCGUCCGGUCCUCGAGCGUAUGGGGCUUCGUCACCCGCUCUUGUAGGCCCGGCCGGCGCUUGCCGACACAUCAAUCUUUUUUCCAGGUUGACCUCGGAUCAGGUAGGGAUACCCGCUGAACUUAAGCAUAUCAUAAGCGGAGGA
RNAcentral lists this unclassified non-coding RNA (344 nucleotides) under soil metagenome. RNAcentral describes it as "partial contains 5.8S ribosomal RNA, internal transcribed spacer 2, and large subunit ribosomal RNA". The stretch from base 1 to 120 matches the Rfam family "5.8S ribosomal RNA", at positions 35 to 154 of the family's 154-position model. The record is from RNAcentral.